GAUUAACGCUGGCGGCGUGCAUAACACAUGCAAGUCGAACGAUGAAACUCAUUAGAUUUCUUCGGAAUGAAAAUGAAUGGAUUAGUGGCGAACGGGUGAGUAACGCGUGAGUAACCUGCCUUACACAAGGGGAUAGCCUCUGGAAACGGAGAAUAAUACCCUAUGAAACCAGACAAUCGCAUGAUAAUCUGGUCAAAAUGUUUAGUGGUGUAAGAUGGACUUGCGUCUGAUUAGCUAGUUGGUGAGAUAAAAGCUCACCAAGGCAACGAUCAGUAGCCGGCUUGAGAGAGUGUACGGCCACAUUGGGACUGAGACACGGCCCAGACUCCUACGGGAGGCAGCAGUGGGGAAUUUUGCACAAUGGGGGAAACCCUGAUGCAGCGACGCCGCGUGAUUUAGAGGGCCUUCGGGUUGUAAAAAUCUUUUGUAUAGGAAGAAAAUGACAGUACUAUACGAAUAAGGUCCGGCUAAUUACGUG
This 478-nucleotide ribosomal RNA is filed under the name uncultured bacterium. RNAcentral describes it as "partial 16S ribosomal RNA". It matches the Rfam family "Bacterial small subunit ribosomal RNA", at positions 28 to 507 of the family's 1533-position model. The record is from RNAcentral.